This 819-nucleotide long non-coding RNA is filed under the name Volvox carteri. RNAcentral describes it as "long non-coding RNA (VCAR_LNC004384)". The record is from RNAcentral. Lineage: Eukaryota; Viridiplantae; Chlorophyta; Chlorophyceae; Chlamydomonadales; Volvocaceae.
AGCCAUACGCCAAUUAAGGCUAUAGUUCAGAACUGCUGUGUGGCGGUGUGUCCAAAUGCACAUACAUCCUAGCUACACGCGCAGAACUAGCCACACACUCGCUUCUAUGCAUGCAGCACGGCAGUAUGUACAUUUAACUUCGGAAGCCCCACAGAAAGUAAGUUAAUUCAUGAUAGACUUACUGCUAACAGUAGGGGUGUCGUCCACAUAGUCGCCGUCCGUGCAUUUUGGUGCAUUGUAUGUCGUUGGUUUCUGAAAGGUAUGAUAUAGUCCGAGGAAAUGGAGGACCUCGUGCAGGAGGGCCUGAGAGCCACUGUGGUAUGUUUCGGGAGUUCCCCGCAAGAACUCGUCCCAGGAUAUGAAGACAAUGGCCAAUUGUGGACUUAUGUCCGACCUGUAUGUAAGUGUCAGAUGCAUGGACUGGGGUGUGAGCGUAACAGUGAGAUAGGUAGGUAUAUAUGACCCAUGCACAUAUGAUUUACCAUGUAUGAUGUGUGAAACAGGGGGGUUUAUCUUCGCCCGUGGCAGCAACCCUGCGAAACCCUGCCUUCCCCGGCAUUUCGGGGCACCCUCAUCCAGUCACCCUAGUCAACUUCUCAGUGGAUCGCUCAAGUUCCGCACCCACCACCAGCAUCCAUCGGAAUCUGCCGGGUCGACAGCGGCACAACUCCAUUCCUGGUCGGCUCGCGGGUUAACUUUAUACCAGGUCACCACCGUCCGUCAACUAGGGGCGCAAUGCCUUCCACCAUCGGAAGGACCUUAGACCCUAACGGGUAUCGAUCCCGGGAUCUCCCGGGGGCAAUGGUCGCGUCUUACCAG